GAUGAACGCUAGCUACAGGCUUAACACAUGCAAGUCGAGGGGCAUCAGGAAGAAAGCUAGCUUUCUUUGCUGGCGACCGGCGCACGGGUGAGUAACACGUAUCCAACCUGCCCUUUACUCGGGGAUAGCCUUUCGAAAGAAAGAUUAAUACCCGAUAGCAUAAUGAUUCCGCAUGGUUUCAUUAUUAAAGGAUUCCGGUAAAGGAUGGGGAUGCGUUCCAUUAGGUUGUUGGUGGGGUAACGGCCCACCAAGCCUUCGAUGGAUAGGGGUUCUGAGAGGAAGGUCCCCCACAUUGGAACUGAGACACGGUCCAAACUCCUACGGGAGGCAGCAGUGAGGAAUAUUGGUCAAUGGGCGCUAGCCUGAACCAGCCAAGUAGCGUGAAGGAUGAAGGCUCUAUGGGUCGUAAACUUCUUUUAUAUAAGAAUAAAGUGCAGUAUGUAUACUGUUUUGUAUGUAUUAUAUGAAUAAGGAUCGGCUAACUCCGUGCCAGCAGCCGCGGUAAUACGGAGGAUCCGAGCGUUAUCCGGAUUUAUUGGGUUUAAAGGGAGCGUAGGUGGACUGGUAAGUCAGUUGUGAAAGUUUGCGGCUCAACCGUAAAAUUGCAGUUGAUACUGUCAGUCUUGAGUACAGUAGAGGUGGGCGGAAUUCGUGGUGUAGCGGUGAAAUGCUUAGAUAUCACGAAGAACUCCGAUUGCGAAGGCAGCUCACUGGACUGCAACUGACACUGAUGCUCGAAAGUGUGGGUAUCAAACAGGAUUAGAUACCCUGGUAGUCCACACAGUAAACGAUGAAUACUCGCUGUUUGCGAUAUACAGUAAGCGGCCAAGCGAAAGCAUUAAGUAUUCCACCUGGGGAGUACGCCGGCAACGGUGAAACUCAAAGGAAUUGACGGGGGCCCGCACAAGCGGAGGAACAUGUGGUUUAAUUCGAUGACACGCGAGGAACCUUACCCGGGCUUAAAUUGCAGUGGAAUGAUGUGGAAACAUGUCAGUGAGCAAUCACCGCUGUGAAGGUGCUGCAUGGUUGUCGUCAGCUCGUGCCGUGAGGUGUCGGCUUAAGUGCCAUAACGAGCGCAACCCUUAUCUUCAGUUACUAACAGGUCAUGCUGAGGACUCUGGAGAGACUGCCGUCGUAAGAUGUGAGGAAGGUGGGGAUGACGUCAAAUCAGCACGGCCCUUACGUCCGGGGCUACACACGUGUUACAAUGGGGGGUACAGAAGGCAGCUAGCGGGUGACCGUAUGCUAAUCCCAAAAGCCUCUCUCAGUUCGGAUCGAAGUCUGCAACCCGACUUCGUGAAGCUGGAUUCGCUAGUAAUCGCGCAUCAGCCACGGCGCGGUGAAAUACGUUCCCGGGCCCU
Molecule: ribosomal RNA, 1361 nt
Filed under: uncultured bacterium
Lineage: Bacteria
Description: bacterial SSU rRNA
Rfam family: Bacterial small subunit ribosomal RNA
Source: RNAcentral